Molecule: small RNA, 28 nt
Filed under: Bombyx mori (domestic silkworm)
Lineage: Eukaryota; Metazoa; Arthropoda; Insecta; Lepidoptera; Bombycidae
Description: ovarian small RNA-29947
Source: RNAcentral
UCUGAGUAUGAUGACUGUGGCCGCCUUC